RNAcentral lists this unclassified non-coding RNA (253 nucleotides) under uncultured Planctomycetales bacterium. Its description in RNAcentral is "contains 16S-23S intergenic spacer region". It matches the Rfam family "Bacterial small subunit ribosomal RNA", at positions 524 to 776 of the family's 1533-position model. Lineage: Bacteria; Pseudomonadati; Planctomycetota; Planctomycetia; Planctomycetales. The record is from RNAcentral.
CACGUACUGUGCGAACGUUAUUCGGAAUCACUGGGCUUAAAGGGUGCGUAGGCGGUUUUCCAAGUCAGGUGUGAAAUUUUCAGGCUCAACCUGAAAACUGCAUUUGAAACUGGUCAACUUGAGGCAGCUAGGGGUGUGUGGAACUUCCAGUGGAGCGGUGAAAUGUGUUGAGAUUGGAAGGAACGCCGGUGGCGAAAGCGACACACUGGGGCUGUACUGACGCUGAGGCACGAAAGCCAGGGGAGCGAACGGG